GGGGUCGACUGGUAUUGACAGCAAGACUAAUGUUUUUAUUUGCAAGUCGAGCAAUGAGAAUAAACUCGUAAAUCUUAUUUUUAACCUUUAAAUGGCGAAAAUAACUACGCUCUAGCUGCAUAAUUGACUGAAUUACAGUAAGUCAAUGCGAAUCUCAACUAGGUUGAGAAGCUGGAUGUCUCUUAAAAACUUUGAUUGACAGUUUUUAUUUAUGAGAUACCAUAGAGUUAAUCUAGAGUUUUAUUGGCACUGGAUAAAACUUAAAGCUUAAGUGAUAAGGAAAAUAUUUUGGUUGUUAUCGACCAAGUGUUUUUUCGAAAAUUUAAUGAUAACUAAACUUGUAGAAGGUAAUUUUAUUGCUUGUAUGGACGAGGGUUCGAAUCCCUCCGACUCCACCA
Molecule: transfer-messenger RNA, 398 nt
Filed under: Flavobacteriaceae
Lineage: Bacteria; Pseudomonadati; Bacteroidota; Flavobacteriia; Flavobacteriales
Also listed under: 2 other names
Description: Marisimplicoccus sp014239615 Standard tmRNA
Rfam family: transfer-messenger RNA
About the family: Bacterial tmRNA, also known as 10Sa RNA or SsrA, is named for its dual tRNA and mRNA-like properties. Its role is to liberate the mRNA from a stalled ribosome. To accomplish this part of the tmRNA is used as a reading frame that ends in a translation stop signal.
Source: RNAcentral